Molecule: ribosomal RNA, 301 nt
Filed under: uncultured bacterium
Lineage: Bacteria
Description: partial 16S ribosomal RNA
Rfam family: Bacterial small subunit ribosomal RNA
Source: RNAcentral
CAGUAGCCACGGUAAUACAGAGGGUGCGAGCGUUAAUCGGAUUUACUGGGCGUAAAGCGUGCGUAGGCGGCUUCUUAAGUCGGAUGUGAAAUCCCUGAGCUUAACUUAGGAAUUGCAUUCGAUACUGGGAAGCUAGAGUAUGGGAGAGGAUGGUAGAAUUCCAGGUGUAGCGGUGAAAUGCGUAGAGAUCUGGAGGAAUACCGAUGGCGAAGGCAGCCAUCUGGCCUAAUACUGACGCUGAGGUACGAAAGCAUGGGGAGCAAACAGUAUUAGAUACCCGCGUAGUCCCUGUCUCUUAUAC